GGACGCAGAAGCGGAAAUACAUGCAACGUGAUAUGUGACGAGCAUUGUAAACAAGUUUUGCUAGCCUGGGAAAGGAAUGCCAUUACAAGGGUCUUUUACUUGAAGCUCCAGGAUGUUGUGUGAAGUCCUGCUGUCAUCGCUAUGGUUCCUGUUCGUUAUCUUCUGGGUCGAGACAAUAAGUGUUUGGCUGUUUUUGUCCAUGUUCUACCAGGACCGAGCGUUUUACCACUGGGGAGAUGAGGUAUUUGCAGAUGAUCCUGGACAGAUGAUAUACAUGUUGAGCAG
Perca flavescens (yellow perch) is the source of this 285-nucleotide long non-coding RNA. RefSeq lists it as uncharacterized. Lineage: Eukaryota; Metazoa; Chordata; Actinopteri; Perciformes; Percidae. The transcript has 3 exons. The record is from RefSeq and is a predicted model, not a curated record.